AGUAUGUACCGGAAGCUCUUCGUCGCAGAUCUGAAGUUAGAAGGAAGAAGAAGGUCAUCGCAGAUCUGAAGCUCAAAGCUUGAAGUCGUCAC
Molecule: long non-coding RNA, 92 nt
Organism: Ipomoea nil (Japanese morning glory)
Lineage: Eukaryota; Viridiplantae; Streptophyta; Magnoliopsida; Solanales; Convolvulaceae
Exons: 2
Source: RefSeq, a predicted model, not a curated record